UUUGCAUCUCUCAUGCAGCACUGGGUUCUUGGCAAGAUUGAUUGCAGACUUGUUAUCAACCAUCAACUUCAGAGACUUGUUUACCUUGAUUUUCAAAUCCUGCAGUAAAUUCAGAAGUCAAACAACUUGACACGCAUGCAGCCACAUCACCUACAAUAUAUUCUACUUCACAGGUUGACAAAGCAACUUGGUUGCUUCUUGGAACAUCAAGAAAUAUGACUUUCCAGAAACUUAAACAAGUAUUGAGAAGCAUUUCUCCUGUCAACUCUCUCUCCACACCAA
Molecule: long non-coding RNA, 282 nt
Filed under: Lathyrus oleraceus (garden pea)
Lineage: Eukaryota; Viridiplantae; Streptophyta; Magnoliopsida; Fabales; Fabaceae
Description: Pisum sativum (pea) long non-coding RNA (PSAT_LNC038647)
Source: RNAcentral